CCUAGCUGCCUCCCCUCCAGGCUGCAGGGCCUCGGGCAGGCAAACCCGGGGUUCUCCAGCAGAGUGGCACAACAGCUCUGCCACACUGCAGAGCCGUGACCUGUGACACAGGAGCCUGGGACGGAGGUGCUGGUACAUCUGAGGAAUGUGCAGAAUCUGAAUGGGUCAUCAAAAGGUCCGGGCCUUGGGAUCGAUUGUGUCCUGUGCCCCAAAUACAA
RNAcentral lists this long non-coding RNA (218 nucleotides) under Homo sapiens (human). RNAcentral's name for it is "HSALNT0154991". Lineage: Eukaryota; Metazoa; Chordata; Mammalia; Primates; Hominidae. The record is from RNAcentral.